CCCCAAUUACCCUCACCAAACUCGUCACCACUCUCUCACCCCUCUCUCACCACCCGUGGUCUCCGCCGCCGGUACCCUACGACGGCGGACAGUCUCCAAACGACCCCAAAUCGUCACCACACAACCUCCAUCCUCCCCUCAGUCUAAAUCCCUCAUUAAUUUUCCCAAAAAAUCGCCCAAACUCCGUGAAUUUCAAAUGUGGAAAUCUCAAAAAAAAACCUAGCUUUACCCUUUCUUUGUUUUCUGGCAAUACCAAUUCGACUUGACUUAGAACCUACCUCGAUCGAUUAUUCUUAAUAAGAACAAUCGAUUGACAUUGGUUUUGGCUCAUUUCGAAGCCACCGGAGUUCCGACAGAAAUACUAUCACCGACCUCCAUGGUUUUUCUCCUGGUUUCGACCUAGUUCAAAAUGGUAAUGCUUUCUUGUUUCCUUUAUGUAUUUCUUGUCAGUAGCCAUGUUCGUAUUUAGAGUUCACUUCAGAUUGUAUUUGUUUAAACAUUUGGUUUUGUUUCGGUUUCUGAUGUUUCGUUAUUCAUGACUUGUUUGUUCUCAGAUUAGUUUAGUCGUAUGCGUUUUAGGAUAAUUGAAUCAAGCUUAAUUAAUUUCUUAAUUUAGCUAGGUUUAAUUGGUAAACGUUUAAUAUUGAUCUGUCUUGUUUGUUCGUUGAUUUGGUUUUAAUUGGUUGCAACAGACUUAGAUUGAUUUUUGCUGUUUGAAUGUCAAAAGGGUUUGGGGGAUGAACGUUUAUUAACAGGAACUUAAGGGGUUUAAUUAGGAAGAAAAUCAGGGAAUUUUGUUUGGUCACACAAGAAACUUCUAGAUAAUGGACAACUAUCCCAAGUUGUUAAUGAAAAUAUUGAGAAUGAGAUAAAACAUUUAGAAAUAGGACAGUUGUCCAACAAUUGGUUAAAAAAGAUGUUUUAUCCCAAAAUUUUAGCUGACAGAUUCUUUUUUCUAGACUUUCUCAUUCUCCCUUAUAGCACACACAUAGCCUAUAUAAUAAGGAUUUUCAUUCUGCAUUCAGCGAUGGGGAGUCAUACAGCACAUAGGGAUCUCUUUUUCAUCUCCUCUAAAAGCAAAAGCCAAUUUUUUUUUGGAAUUCAAAGUGACUUCCAAAUUUGGAAAACUAAAAUCUCAGGAGUUGCUUCUAUGACUAUAUCGUUUCAUUCCAUUGGUUCCUGAUUUUGCUAAAGUUAGUUUUGGACUGAAUUUGAGGCCUUCCUCUGGGAUUUACUGAUGUUGGUUGCCGUGUUGUUGAUUUUUCAUCAAGCUAUUGUGGAAUCUUGUGUUUAGCUGCCUCUCAAGUUCAGAGAUUUAUUUUCUGUUCCUUUUGUUUUGCUGCUACUAAGGUAUUGCUUUGACCUCUUGUAGAUGUAACCGUGUCUUGAAGUAAUGGAAUACCUAAUGCGAUUGUAGUUGCAUAGUGUUUUGUUUUGAGUAUAGAUCAUUGUGUGUUCUUAUAUGUUUAACAUGUAUGAGUCUGAUUCUGUUAGCCAUGUGAUUAAGGUUAAGUUGUCACAGUCAGCUAAAAUCUACACUAAUGUGCUCAUCUAUGUUUUCUGUUGAAGUGUUUAUGGCUUGACUGCCAUUGUUUGAGUUAAUGGUAUAGGGUGCAUUGAUACUACUGUCUAAGACAUGUUCAGAUUCAUUUAAGCAGUAAACACACGCUUGAAAUAGUGUCAUUUCUUCAUUUUAAGUGUUGGCUCAUGAAAUUAAUGGUGUAAUCUUGAUUUGAUAUUAGCAUGUGGAGGCAAGGGCCAGUCAGUUAUUGGAUUUGAUCACUAGUUGAUCAAAUCCAUUACUGGAUAAAUUUUUGGACCCAAAUCAGGCAGUAAUGAAGUGAAUGAAGUGCUGGGGUUUCAGGCUGAUUAAGUUAACUAGCCCAGGCGUGACCGGAAUAGGGGCAUAGCUUUCAAUUAAUGAAAUUGAAGGUUAUGGUUAUUAUAGCAAUUCAUCAAGUGUAGCAAACUCAGUCAGUUAGGAUUAUGUAGUUUUUUUUUGGCACUCCGCUAGGCAAGCGCCUAGGGCUAGUUUUUUAUUAAUAACAGAAAAAAGNNNNNNNNNNNNNNNNNGUUGUUUUCCUGAACCGUGUUCAAAACGUAAUCAAAAAACAUCAUUUCUUUUUUGGACGGUUGGACCUCGUUGACGUAGUUGGGGCAGCCUUCUUUUGUUUGACAACUCUCAUUGGAAAGUCGCCUAACAUUUAGAAAAUCACUAACCUUGUCGUCCCAACUAUUUUUCCUUGUAUGUGCUUUCUUUAUUUUGCCGCUCUGCAUAGGUGAUAAAUCGCCUUGUUUUGCUGCAUGUGACCGACAUUCUUUCAAAACAACAUCUUCUUCUCCUUCCUCAUACAUAUCUCUACCCACAUUCACAGGAUGCGGAUAGUUGUCGACGAGGUCCUAUGUCAUCAAUGCAUUUCCUUAUUGUGUAUUUGCCAAAGCUGUCGUGUUGUGAUGUUGCUUUAUGACUUGCAUUUUAUUCCUGUUUUUACUCACAUUUCCUGUACUAACAAUUUGCAUUGAACUUUCUGAGUUUCGAUGUGUAGAGUCUGCCAAUGCAUCAAGCAGUUUUCUAUCUUCCUCAGAAAUCAUAGGAGUACUGGAAUCCUGUUGUUUCUGUCCAGCAUUUGAGUUCAUUAUUGUAGUACUUGGUGUGCUUUCAAGUUGUUGUUGUUGUCCAGUCAUAUUGCUUACAGUAAUAGCUGUUUUGGUUGUCACCACAUAUUGCUGCCCAGAUUCAGUAACAACUCCAGCUGCUUUGUUUGCAAUGAGUUGCUGCUGCUGCCCAGAUUCAGUAACAACUUCAGCUACAGUUGUUGAAUUGAGUUGCUGCUGCUGCCCAGAUUUCUUUGCUAUUGCUUUUCCUUUCGAUUCAGCUUUUGUGCAUCUUUGUUGUUGCUCAAUGUUGGGGAUGAAUUCCGGAGCUGUGGCAUUAAGCCUGCGACUGGAUCCUAGCUUGGAGGAACUUCCAACCUUUGGCAAAUUUGGUGAGAAUACUGUCUCUUCAUCACCACUACACAUCUCACCUUCUUCAGCAGAAUCCCUCACAAAUUGAAUUUCCAGAUCUUCUUCAUCAUCAUAUUCACACUGAUCAACCCAUUGCUUAUAGUUAACUGCCAUCUCCCCCACAAAGCCAGCACCCCAGUAUUCAUCAUCAUCAUCCUCAUGUUGGUCAUCCCAAAAUUUGGAUUUAAUACCUUACUCUCCAAACGUUUCCAAAGAUUGUGAUGGUAUUUCAAAGACGAAUUUGUUCAAUGUCACAGUUGGUGGAUUAACCAUAUUGGUGUUCAUUAUCAUUGCAUUUUGCGCGUCUUUAAUGAUUUUUUCCAUAUGUAGACUGGAAAAAAGUAGUGUUGGAAUGUUGGAACUUUGGGCUUGUUUAGCUACUAGCUCGUUGCGUAGGACAUUUGUUUCACUUGUAGUGCAUGGAACAAUUUGCUGUUGAACCAUAGUACCAUUUAGUGUUGAUGAGUUGAUUCCAAUUUCCUCCUCAUGUACAAGUGCAUCAAAAGAAUUUGGAGUGAUUAUAUCCUGUCGAAAUGCUGGUACACUCAAAUGUUGUUGCUUAGCCUUCACAGCUGGAGAUGUAUCUUGUCGACUAGGAGAUCUCAUCACAUCUAUCCAAUCAUCUGCAAAUUUUUUCGACUGCCCAGCUUGUUCCUGUUCAUUAGAACCUGCUGGUUUUUCUUCAGCCAUGAUAGCAUUUGUUCCAUUAUAUACAUUCACUACACCUUGAACACUAAGAGUUUGAAUCCCUGCUUUAGCUCGAUCACCAGCUGAAAUUCCAACCCUCAAAGGAGCUGCUGGAACAGCAGCAGUUGCAUGAUGGUCCACCCAAUUUUGAGGCUGCGUAAGAUCCUUGAUCACUGCCUUAACACUCUUUGGAUCAGUUUUGCUUCGAGCCCCUUGGCGAUUCUGCCCAAAAAUUGUAACAGCUGAAUCAGUAGCAAUGUUCAAAGCACCAGCUGUAGCUUCUUUCAUUCGUUCAAAAACUUUUGUAGCAGGUAUAUCAGCUGGGAGUUUGGCUUUCUUAGGAGUAGAUACAUCCCCUACUACUAACCCUUGUUGCUUAUUGCCAGUAGUUAAAUCAACCACUUGCACACCUAUUCGAGUACCAGCAGGUAUACAUUCACCAUCUCUCUUUUGUCCAGCAUUAGGUACCACUAAAUCACCAUUUUCCUUUUCAUUAACUGUAAUACAUUGUUGUCCUCCAUUAGGUUGCAAAAUCACCUGUUGUACACUAGUAGAAGCAGGAAAAUCCAUCAACCUCCUAUCCUCAACAGUCUGUUGUUUCUGUACCUGGUCCACGAAUAAACCCUCAACCUUAUUCCCAACUUGAUCUUGCACUUGUUGGACCUGUAUGUCAUCAAUCUUCGUGUUCACAACCACUACUACCAUCAUUCACAGUGGCCUUCAAAGUAUGUUGCUGCCCAGAAUUUGUAUUUUUUUCAGGUCCUUCAAUGGGCUGUUGGUUAGCUCUUUUUUAUUCAGAUAAUCCCUUGCAUCACCCUGUAGUUUCUCCAUUACUCUUGUUGCAUCAGCUUCGUCCUCCACAUGUUCAUCAUGUACUACUCGUUUUUUCCUAAAAGGAUGCGACAAUUAGAUUCGUCAUGUCCUUGAUGCUUGCAGUGAUUACAAUAUAGAGGUAAAUUAUCAUAAGUAACUUGUUGAAGCUGUUCAACGAUCUUUCCAGUUCCUUCAUCAACAUAUUUAAGCCUUAUUUGUUCUGGAUGCUUGUCCAAAAUGUCAAGGAUCACCUUGACCCUAGUUGUACUUGGCCUAGACCUAAGUUGAGUAGCCUUAUCAAUAGCAAUAGGCUUUCCAACAGUUGCUGCAAUGGACAUUAAAGCACGCCUGGCAAAUAAUUCAGGGGGUAAACUUGGAAACGAAAUCCAUACCGCUGCCAUAUGUGUUUCUUCUUUUGGGUUGUAUCCAAUCGUCCAUGGGAAUACUCUAACCUGGUGUUCUUUUUCUUUGCUCGUAAAAUAAGUAACUGACCUGGUGAGACAAAUUACGAAGUCGUCGUAAUGAUCCAGUCGUAUGAGUAAUUGUCUUUGCGCUAGAAGACCAAUCAAACAUUGGCCUUUGACACCAAACAGUUUUGGCAAAAUUGUACGCAAGUCUUGCAAGUCUGGAGCAUUAGGAGAAACCUUCACGACAAUGGCUUGAUGCAAACCUUCCUCCCUUGCAAAAUCUUCCCGUUCCUCCAUUGUAAACAGUAGCGUUGGGAUUCCAUGAACUACUUCGCUUGGCUUCAAAGUUGUUUUUGUAACUUGUCCUGCUGUUUGGUUAUUGAUCAAACUAGCUGCAUAUGAAUUUGGAGGGAUGAAUUUAGAUUGCUCUCCCACAGCCAAAGGCUGGGGAGAGGACGAUGUAUUCAUAAAGUUCUUCAAAACUCCAUUGAAAGAAGAAGAAACUAACGAAAAGUUAUACUUGCUACAGUAACCGGGUAAGAAAUUUUAAGAUCUGUUUCAAUUGGCUAUAGAUCUAAGCACAAAACCAAUUGGGGAUUGUGCGCAUAGAGAAGAUGCUUCUAUUAACACCAAAAUUACGAGAAUCCACCGCCGGAUGUCGGAUUUAUGGCUCGUGAAUAGUAAUGGAUUUACUAUUCACCCUUCUCUUCUCUUCAAGUCCAUAGAGUAGUUUUGUUUCUUAUUAUAGUUGUAAUCUAAUUGAAAAGCCAUUUAGUUGUAAUUUGAGGUUUCCUUUAUAUGUGUAGUUCAUCUUUAAUUCCUGAGUAUUUGUUUGAUAAAUUGGUUCAAAUUUGUAUUAUGAAUGUUUAAGAAAUUGUUUCGUUUUUUUCCAUUGGUAAUAGAGACCAAAGGAAAUUCAGUGUUUGGACUAAGGCUGUCCAACGGGACGGCCCGUCCCGCGUCCGGUCCCGGCCCGGCCCGACCCAAGUUAAACGGGAUGGGCCAAUGUUAAACGGGACACGGGAUGGGACGGGACGACCAUUUCGUCCCAUUUAUCCUGUCCUGUUUUGUCCCCUCCCGCCCCGUCUGUCCCGUCCCAUCUUGUCCUGUCUUGCCUGUCCUGCGAGUCUUUAUGGUAUAUUUGUGGAAUUUCUGUUGUAUUUGGUUAGUAUAAAACAAAUCCAACUUAUGCACCGACAUUAAUGAAAUGAUUGUAAAAUUUAAAAAGUAUUUUUUUUCUCUAUUCCCUAAGUUUAUUUAAUUUCUACAAUACUUAAUCCAUAUUUAAAAUUAAGAGGUGCAAAGUGACUUGUUCGUAAAAUUUAUCAAAAUUUAGCAAUUCAAGAAUAUGAACAACCAUCUCUCUAAGACAUCCAAGCUAACAUAUAUUCUUUUGUUAGAAUCUAGGUCAAUGUUUGAUAAAUAUAAAUCUAUAGAAACAACAAGUGGUGAAACUGCUCCUUCUACUUCUAAGUCUAGAGUAGAAAUUCUUAUGGGAAGAUAUUGAUGAUAUAACAUGUUUUGAUUCCUCUACUGAUGGUGAACUUGAUUCUUAGCACCAGAGAAUGCUUUUAGCGCAACAAUAUUUCAAAUCGGAGAUCAUAGACAUUCAUUAGCAGAGGACAACCUAGAGAUUUCCGUAUUAUUCAGAGAUUGGAUUAAUGCAGAAAGAAGAAAUUUUGGUUUUGAAAAAUUAACACUAGGGAAGAAGAAAAAUACAAUGAGAUACUUAGCAUUGGGACCGAUGACGGCAUGGAGCUCAUAGAACAUUAAUCAACAUUCAACACUGCCAAUUCCACAACAACGUCCGAGAGAUAUUAUUGAUAAGUUACAAAGAAGCUAUAGAGGAGCUUACAAACAUUCAAUAUUAGUAUGAUAAUUUGUAAUUGGCUACUAAGAGGCCUAGUUCAAACAGAACCCUUCCUAGAAGGUGGCUGCGUAGAUUAGGUGCUCUUCAAAAGAAUUAUAUUUGUAUUUGAGAUUUGAAAGUUCCAUUAAUAAAAUAAAAGGCUCUAAGCGUUGAUUUUUUU
This 6943-nucleotide long non-coding RNA is filed under the name Nicotiana tabacum (common tobacco). RNAcentral's name for it is "long non-coding RNA (NTAB_LNC007090)". The record is from RNAcentral. Lineage: Eukaryota; Viridiplantae; Streptophyta; Magnoliopsida; Solanales; Solanaceae.